RNAcentral lists this ribosomal RNA (497 nucleotides) under uncultured bacterium. RNAcentral's name for it is "bacterial SSU rRNA". It matches the Rfam family "Bacterial small subunit ribosomal RNA", at positions 28 to 482 of the family's 1533-position model. The record is from RNAcentral.
GAUGAACGCUGGCGGCGUGCCUAACACAUGCAAGUCGAACGAGAAGCUAACCUUUGAUUCCUUCGGGAUGAUCAGGUUGGCAGAAAGUGGCGAACGGGUGAGUAACGCGUGGGUAAUCUACCCUAAAGUGGGGGAUAACCCUCCGAAAGGAGGGCUAAUACCGCAUAAUAUCUUCUCCUCUAAAGAGGUAAAGAUUAAAGGUGGCCUCUAUUUAUAAGCUAUCACUUUAGGAUGAGCCCGCGUCCUAUUAGUUAGUUGGUGGGGUAAUGGCCUACCAAGACCACAAUGGGUAGCCGGUCUGAGAGGAUGUACGGCCACACUGGGACUGAGAUACGGCCCAGACUCCUACGGGAGGCAGCAGUGGGGAAUAUUGCGCAAUGGGGGAAACCCUGACGCAGCGACGCCGCGUGGACGAUGAAGGCCUUCGGGUUGUAAAGUCCUGUUCUGGGGGAAGAAACCUUAAGGGUCCAAUAAACCCUUAAGCUGACGGUACCCCA